RNAcentral lists this unclassified non-coding RNA (1607 nucleotides) under Sitophilus oryzae (rice weevil). Its description in RNAcentral is "serine/arginine-rich splicing factor 2, transcript variant X2". Lineage: Eukaryota; Metazoa; Arthropoda; Insecta; Coleoptera; Curculionidae. The record is from RNAcentral.
AGUUUUCAAACGUUGGCCAUCCUGAUUUGUACUUAAAUAAAUGACAGUUCCUUUGACAGUUCUCUUUCGAAGCAAGCGACGCGACGCCAUCGUUGAAGAGCAUUUUUUAACGACUUGAAAUUGUGUCUGUGUGCUAAUUGUGUAUUAUAAUUUGAAUUAUUAUUGUAUUUAUAGUCUUAUCUGUUUUGUUGAAAGAAGUUUUCAUAGUGUACACAAAGCGUUUAGUUUUUCAAGAUGAGUUACGGUAGGCCUCCGCCCCGUAUUGACGGCAUGGUGUCUCUCAAAGUUGAUAAUUUAACUUAUCGCACCACUCCCGAUGAUUUAAGGAGGGUUUUCGAACGAUGUGGAGAAGUAGGAGAUAUUUAUAUUCCUAGGGAUCGAUUUACAAGGGAAAGCCGUGGAUUUGCUUUUGUUAGAUUUUUCGACAAGAGAGAUGCCGAGGAUGCGUUGGAAGCUAUGGAUGGUCGCAUGUUAGAUGGAAGGGAGUUGAGAGUUCAGAUGGCAAGAUACGGUAGACCUACUUCACCACAUAGACGGUACAGGGGAGGUAGAAGACGUUCUAGAUCUCGUGGUCGCCGAGGAAGUCGUUCAAGGUCAAGGGGAAGAAGAUCUGCCAGUAGAAGCCGUUCCCGUUCAGGAAGCAAAAGUUCAAGGGGAGGUUCUCGUUCUCCAUCUCGCGAUAAUGCUCGAUCAAGAUCAAGAAGCAAAUCCAGAUCUAGAUCUAGAAGCUAAACUGUGCAGAGUGGAAGGUGCACUGGAGUAGAGUAAUGCUGUAGGCACCUGCUCUGAAAAGCAGGCGCAGCGUGCGGGGGGUGGCAGUGUGUUGGCGGUGAUUGCGGAUAUGGUGGCGUUAUGAGAGAGGAGAGAGAGCGGAGAGCUGUUGUGUACCUGAGCCAGUUGCGCGUCUAUUGGCUGUAUUGACGGCGUGCUGUAGCGGCCCAGCUAAUCGAUGAUCGCGCUGAUCCGGAUGUGCUGCGGCGUGCCGUACUAUGUAGCUGCUCUCCAUCUCAAGCCGGACCUUAUCGAAACCGCGCACGUUAGCUUGGUUGGCACUAUUGGGGCGAAUCUUAAACAAAACCGCAAUGGUUGCGUUAGCUUUUUACUAGUACAGAUAAUGGGUAAUUGUAUGUAUAACUAGACUAAAAAACGUCUAUACCUAUGUGGGGGAUUAAUACUUUUAUAACAACUGUUUCAAAAAAAAAUAUUUUUUUCUUAAUUAUAUCGAAAAUGUUGGAAAUGCCGAAAAAAAAAUCUGUGAAAGUUUAAGCUCUUUAAUAUUAAUAUUAAGAGGAAAUUUUCAUUUGAUUAACAUGAGGAUUUUUUCCCGACUUUAUAAUUUUUUAACUCUUGAACGAGUUUUCUGAUUAGUUUGGACGAAACAUACAUAUUCUUGUAGAGAAUUGAAAGCGCUACAAAAAGGGUCUCUUACAAUUUUUUGAUACAUUUAUUGGUUUCAAAGUUAUUUAAAGUUAAUGAUAAAUUUUAAUAUUUUCCAUGACACAACUAUUAAAGCUGCAUUCAGAACCUCGCAAUUAGUGGAAUAAAUUAAUGGUUUCAAUUACACUUUAUACUUUUUAGUUUAUGUUCAAUCACAAUGUCUAAAAAAC